This 434-nucleotide ribosomal RNA is filed under the name uncultured bacterium. RNAcentral's name for it is "bacterial SSU rRNA". It matches the Rfam family "Bacterial small subunit ribosomal RNA", at positions 351 to 782 of the family's 1533-position model. The record is from RNAcentral.
GCAGUGAGGAAUAUUGGACAAUGGGCGCAAGCCUGAUCCAGCCAUGCCGCGUGCAGGAUGACGGUCCUAUGGAUUGUAAACUGCUUUUAUACGAGAAGAAACACUGCUACGUGUAGCAGCUUGACGGUAUCGUAAGAAUAAGGAUCGGCUAACUCCGUGCCAGCAGCCGCGGUAAUACGGAGGAUCCAAGCGUUAUCCGGAAUCAUUGGGUUUAAAGGGUCCGUAGGCGGUUUAAUAAGUCAGUGGUGAAAGCCCAUCGCUCAACGGUGGAACGGCCAUUGAUACUGUUAAACUUGAAUUAUUAGGAAGUAACUAGAAUAUGUAGUGUAGCGGUGAAAUGCUUAGAGAUUACAUGGAAUACCAAUUGCGAAGGCAGGUUACUACUAAUGGAUUGACGCUGAUGGACGAAAGCGUGGGUAGCGAACAGGAUUAGA